RNAcentral lists this transfer RNA (52 nucleotides) under Candidatus Propionivibrio aalborgensis. It matches the Rfam family "tRNA", at positions 1 to 52 of the family's 71-position model. From Rfam's summary of the family: Transfer RNA (tRNA) molecules are approximately 80 nucleotides in length. Their secondary structure includes four short double-helical elements and three loops (D, anti-codon, and T loops). Further hydrogen bonds mediate the characteristic L-shaped molecular structure. tRNAs have two regions of fundamental functional importance: the anti-codon, which is responsible for specific mRNA codon recognition, and the 3' end, to which the tRNAs corresponding amino acid is attached (by aminoacyl-tRNA synthetases). tRNAs cope with the degeneracy of the genetic code in two manners: having more than one tRNA (with a specific anti-codon) for a particular amino acid; and 'wobble' base-pairing, i.e. permitting non-standard base-pairing at the 3rd anti-codon position. The record is from Rfam by way of RNAcentral. Lineage: Bacteria; Pseudomonadati; Pseudomonadota; Betaproteobacteria; Rhodocyclales; Rhodocyclaceae.
GCGGGCGUCGUAUAAUGGUAAUACCCUAGCUUCCCAAGCUAGAGCCGUGGGU